GGAGGAGACAGGAACGGAAGAGAAGAGAAGACUGGGAGAGAGUAGCUGGGAACAACAUGGACGCUGACGUAAAGAUUCCAUGCUGCACCUUUACAGGCACCUCCAUCACGGUUUCCCUGGUGACUGCAUUAGUGUACCACCGGGAGUAUACAUCUACCAUGCAUGGCCGGUUGGUUGACAACUAUCGUGUCAACAUGGAAGGCAAGGAGGACACACAACAGAGGAGCCGAACAGAAGACAAAUAAGAGCACAUGAAACGGGGGCUGGAGAGAUGGCUCAGCGUUUAAGAGCACUGACUGCUCUUCCAGAGGUCCUGAGUUCAAAUCCCAGCACCCACAUGGCGGCUCACAACCAUCUGUAAUGAGAUCUGAUGCCCUCUUCUGGUGUGUCUGAAGACAGCAACAGUGUACUUAUAUAUAGUAAAUAAAUCUAAAAAAAAAUUCAUUUAA
Non-coding RNA from Rattus norvegicus (Norway rat), 449 nucleotides. NCBI's taxonomy places the organism in Eukaryota, Metazoa, Chordata, Mammalia, Rodentia, Muridae. The record is from RefSeq and is a predicted model, not a curated record.